AACUCGCCUGCAUGAAGCUGGAAUUGCUAGUAAUCGCGGAUCAGCAAGCCGCGGUGAAUACGUUCCCGGGCCUUGUACACACCGCCCGUCACACCAUGAGAGUCGGGAACACCCGAAGUCCGUAGUCUAACCGCAAGGGGGCGCGGCCGAAGGUGGGUCCGGUAAUUGGGUGAAGUCGUAACAAGGUACC
This 190-nucleotide ribosomal RNA is filed under the name uncultured bacterium. RNAcentral describes it as "partial 16S ribosomal RNA". It matches the Rfam family "Bacterial small subunit ribosomal RNA", at positions 1309 to 1500 of the family's 1533-position model. The record is from RNAcentral.